Molecule: ribosomal RNA, 368 nt
Filed under: uncultured organism
Description: bacterial SSU rRNA
Rfam family: Bacterial small subunit ribosomal RNA
Source: RNAcentral
CGGAGGGUGCAAGCGUUGUCCGGAUUUAUUGGGUUUAAAGGGUGCGUAGGCGGCUCUUUAAGUCAGUGGUGAAAGCCGACAGCUUAACUGUCGAAAUGCCAUUGAUACUGGGGAGCUUGAGUACAGUAGAGGUAGGCGGAAUUAAUGGUGUAGCGGUGAAAUGCAUAGAUACCAUUAAGAACACCGAUUGCGAAGGCAGCUUACUAUAGUGUAACUGACGCUGAGGCACGAAAGUGUGGGGAUCAAACAGGAUUAGAUACCCUGGUAGUCCACACUGUAAACGAUGAUCACUCGCUGUUGGCGAUAGACAGCCAGCGGCUUAGCGAAAGCGAUAAGUGAUCCACCUGGGGAGUACGCUCGCAAGAGUG